AGGGCUGUAGCUCAGUGGUAGAGCAUUUACCUCAUAUGUGUGAGGCACUGGGUUCGAUCCUCAGCACCACAU
Molecule: transfer RNA, 72 nt
Filed under: Ictidomys tridecemlineatus (thirteen-lined ground squirrel)
Lineage: Eukaryota; Metazoa; Chordata; Mammalia; Rodentia; Sciuridae
Also listed under: 1 other name
Description: Spermophilus tridecemlineatus (thirteen-lined ground squirrel) tRNA
Rfam family: tRNA
About the family: Transfer RNA (tRNA) molecules are approximately 80 nucleotides in length.
Source: Rfam by way of RNAcentral